This 547-nucleotide ribosomal RNA is filed under the name uncultured bacterium. RNAcentral's name for it is "bacterial SSU rRNA". It matches the Rfam family "Bacterial small subunit ribosomal RNA", at positions 851 to 1398 of the family's 1533-position model. The record is from RNAcentral.
GCUAACGCAUUAAGCAUUCCGCCUGGGGAGUACGGUCGCAAGAUUAAAACUCAAAGGAAUAGACGGGGACCCGCACAAGCGGUGGAGCAUGUGGUUUAAUUCGAAGAUACGCGAAGAACCUUACCAGGCUUGACAUGAUAGAAUCCUAUAGAGAUAUGGGAGUGCCCUUUUAGGGAGCUUGAACACAGGUGGUGCAGGGGUGUUGUCAGCUCGUGUCGUGAGAUGUUGGGUUAAGUCCCGCAAAGAGCGCAACCCUUGUCCUUAGUUGAUCGCAGUUAGGUUGAGCACUCUAAGGAGACUGCCUUGGUAAGGAGGAGGAAGGUGAGGAUGACGUCAAGUCAUCAUGGCCCUUAUGCUUAGGGCUACACACGUGCUACAAUGGGGUGCACAAAGAGGAGCAAUCCCGCGAGGUGGAGCAAAUCUCUAAAACAUCUUUCAGUUUGGAUUGUCGUUUGCAAAUUGAAUACCUGAAGGCGGAAUCGGUAGCAAUCGUGAAUCAGCCAUGUCACGGUGAAUACGUUCCCGGGUCUUGUACACACCGCCCGUC